AUGGAUGAGUACAUGAUUGACAGUGAAGAUGGCAUGCUGCCAGUAAGAGUACUCAACAAUUGGGCACUAUAUAAUUCAGAUUCCAGAUUCAUGUCUUUGGGGCUCAUCCCUGUUAAACCAGGUGUUGUAAAUGAUACUGUCAUCUUUGGGUCUAGUUGUAUGAGAGACGAUGAUGGUACUUUCUGUUCAACAGCUGAGCCAGCGGAGUUAUCUUCUUCCUCGAGUAAAUCUGACCAGGAAGAUCAAGGGAUUCCAAUUUAUCUAAGUCCAAUCAAGUAA
This 279-nucleotide ribosomal RNA is filed under the name Triticum aestivum (bread wheat). Its description in RNAcentral is "partial small subunit ribosomal RNA". Lineage: Eukaryota; Viridiplantae; Streptophyta; Magnoliopsida; Poales; Poaceae. The record is from RNAcentral.